This 253-nucleotide ribosomal RNA is filed under the name uncultured bacterium. RNAcentral describes it as "partial 16S ribosomal RNA". It matches the Rfam family "Bacterial small subunit ribosomal RNA", at positions 524 to 776 of the family's 1533-position model. The record is from RNAcentral.
UACGGAGGGUGCGAGCGUUGUCCGGAAUCACUGGGCGUAAAGGGCGCGUAGGUGGCGCGGCAAGUCAACGGUGAAAGCUCGACGCUCAACGUCGAGUCGGCCGUCGAUACUGCUGGGCUUGAGCACUGUAGAGGCAGAUGGAAUUCCGGGUGUAGCGGUGGAAUGCGUAGAUAUCAGGAGGAACACCGGUGGUGUAGACGGCUUUCUGGACCGUAACUGACGCUGAAACACGAAAGCGUGGGUAGCAAACAGG